UACGUAGGGUGCGAGCGUUAAUCGGAAUUACUGGGCGUAAAGCGUGCGCAGGCGGUUCGUUAAGUUCGAUGUGAAAGCCCCGGGCUCAACCUGGGAAUUGCAUUGGAAACUGGCGGGCUUGAGUGUGGCAGAGGGGGGUGGAAUUCCACGUGUAGCAGUGAAAUGCGUAGAGAUGUGGAGGAACACCGAUGGCGAAGGCAGCCCUCUGGGCUAACACUGACGCUCAGGCACGAAAGCGUGGGGAGCAAACAGG
RNAcentral lists this ribosomal RNA (253 nucleotides) under uncultured bacterium. Its description in RNAcentral is "partial 16S ribosomal RNA". It matches the Rfam family "Bacterial small subunit ribosomal RNA", at positions 524 to 776 of the family's 1533-position model. The record is from RNAcentral.